UGGCAAAAAAGAGAGUUAAGACUAUGUAACCAGCAGAGAAUGAAGUUAAAAAAAGACAGAAAAAGAUGAGGAUUUUCCUGAAAGUUGUGUUAAAUAAGAAUGGCAAGAGAUUAAACAAAAAAUGGUUUUGUGACCGUUGUAAAUAACGCAUGGUUACAUGCAAGAUAGGUGUUAUUUUCUUCAUGGAUUUCCAGAUAAGGGAGGCAAGGAAACCAAAGCUAUGCUAGUUAAGGCAUUGAACUCACAGAGUGAAGAAGAAACCAAGAAACAAUCUGAGAAAGUUGAAAACACAAAAUUAACUGAUAAUGAGAAUGAAACUCUGAAAAAAUGGAUGGAUAAGGAAAAGAUUGAUAUGAUUUUUUACUUGAUCUUUUUUAUGAAAAUCAUGAUCUGUUUUGCAGGUUUUUUUUAAAAACAGAAGCAAAUAAUUUAGAAUCUAAGAUAAAUCCUAAAUUAAAUGAUGCAUGUGCACACACCCAUAUGUUACAACUUAAUUGUGACUCAUUAAUAUGAUAUUAAGGUAUCUUUUAUGCCUACCUCUUGUGUCUUGCAGGAAGCAACCUCACUUCAAGUGUUUGGACAGUGUAGCUUGAUUGAGGGACUUUAUGUUUUAUCUGUUGAAUUUUUAAAUAGCCAUAGUGUUUUACACAAACUAAAUGUGGUUAUUCCUUUUGAUACCAGCUGACACUCGAUCCAGAUUAGGACAUGCUUUUACUAAAAAGUUAAAUUUUAGUAGUCACAAUUUGUGAGUGGUCAUAUAUAUCUUAGUAGCGUUUUAAUUGUAUACCAGAUAAAGUGAGGUCAGACAAGGAUUUACGUACGGAGCUCCUCAACAUUAACCAUCUUCGUCAUUACGUUUGACAUUCUUCACAAAUCAACAGAUCGGAUCGUCGACGACGUCUCUGAUACCACCUGAUAGCUAGCGGAAGCGGAAUUGGAAUUGAAAAUAGUACCUGGCCUUCACAGGAGCGAAGUACGAUCUGUCAAUGGAUGGAGGAAGAAUACGAUAUAUAGAUGAUUAUCAUCGUAGAGAUCGAGGGAUGAUCGGAGAUAAGAAUGACUGGAAUUCACCAACGGAAGAUUAGAAAUACGAUCAAAACUGCCUCCACUAACCG
RNAcentral lists this long non-coding RNA (1115 nucleotides) under Zostera marina. RNAcentral's name for it is "long non-coding RNA (ZMAR_LNC003087)". Lineage: Eukaryota; Viridiplantae; Streptophyta; Magnoliopsida; Alismatales; Zosteraceae. The record is from RNAcentral.